This 497-nucleotide ribosomal RNA is filed under the name uncultured bacterium. RNAcentral's name for it is "partial 16S ribosomal RNA". It matches the Rfam family "Bacterial small subunit ribosomal RNA", at positions 28 to 507 of the family's 1533-position model. The record is from RNAcentral.
GAUGAACGCUGGCGGCGUGCCUAAUACAUGCAAGUCGAGCGAACAGACGAGGAGCUUGCUCCUCUGACGUUAGCGGCGGACGGGUGAGUAACACGUGGAUAACCUACCUAUAAUACUGGGAUAACUUCGGGAAACCGGAGCUAAUACCGGAUAAUAUAUUGAACCGCAUGGUUCAAUAGUGAAAGACGGUUUUGCUGUCACUUAUAGAUGGAUCCGCGCCGCAUUAGCUAGUUGGUAAGGUAACGGCUUACCAAGGCAACGAUGCGUAGCCGACCUGAGAGGGUGAUCGGCCACACUGGAACUGAGACACGGUCCAGACUCCUACGGGAGGCAGCAGUAGGGAAUCUUCCGCAAUGGGCGAAAGCCUGACGGAGCAACGCCGCGUGAGUGAUGAAGGUCUUCGGAUCGUAAAACUCUGUUAUUAGGGAAGAACAAAUGUGUAAGUAACUAUGCACGUCUUGACGGUACCUAAUCAGAAAGCAACGGCUAACUACGUG